RNAcentral lists this ribosomal RNA (647 nucleotides) under Paraclytus excultus. RNAcentral describes it as "eukaryotic LSU rRNA". It matches the Rfam family "Eukaryotic large subunit ribosomal RNA", at positions 88 to 493 of the family's 3401-position model. The record is from RNAcentral. Lineage: Eukaryota; Metazoa; Arthropoda; Insecta; Coleoptera; Cerambycidae.
UGCGAGCGAACAGGGAAAAGCCCAGCACCGAAUCCCGCGGCCGAUAUCGGACGCCGGGAAAUGUGGAGUUAGGGUAGGAUCCGUCUAUCCCGAGGUCGUGCGGUGCGUCCAAGUCCUUCUUGAACGGGGCCACAGCCCAUAGAGGGUGCCAGGCCCGUAGUGACCGCUGCCGAUCGCGGGAGGAUCUCUCCUCAGAGUCGGGUUGCUUGAGAGUGCAGCCCUAAGUGGGUGGUAAACUCCAUCUAAGGCUAAAUAUGACCACGAGACCGAUAGCGAACAAGUACCGUGAGGGAAAGUUGAAAAGCACUUUGAAGAGAGAGUUCAAGAGUACGUGAAACCGUUCAGGGGUAAACCUGAGAAGCCCGAAAGGUCGAAUGGGGAAAUUCAAUCGCGUUUCGGCCGCCGGCGUUGGAUGGUCGCGUGACGGGUGGCGUACGCGUCGUCCGCGCCUUCCGUUCUUCGAACCGGCGUCGAACGCGUGCACUUUUCCCCUAGUAGGACGUCGCGAUCCGUUGGGUGUCGGUCUAUGGCCCGUGGUGGAGCCCGUGCGGUAGCCGUUCGGUUUAUCGCACGGACCCGCGGUGUUCCGGCCGGCUCGCUCGACGGUAUACAGAUGGCGCGGGGCCGCUACUCAGCUAGCGUUCGGC